RNAcentral lists this small RNA (1066 nucleotides) under Pongo abelii (Sumatran orangutan). Its description in RNAcentral is "retained intron". Lineage: Eukaryota; Metazoa; Chordata; Mammalia; Primates; Hominidae. The record is from RNAcentral.
AGGGAUGAGUCUCCCCUCCUCACCGAGUGGGGCAGGGAGAGGCGCAGAAAGGUACCUCCCUCUCACUGGGACUGUUCUUUCCAGAGGCUCUGCACUGGCAAACUUGAUUUCCCAGUACACCCUGGCUCUACUCCUCUUUUUCUACAUCCUCGGGAAAAAACUGCAUCAAGCUACAUGGGGAGGCUGGUCCCUCGAGUGCCUGCAGGACUGGGCCUCCUUCCUCCACCUUGCCGUCCCCAGCAUGCUCAUGCUGUGCAUGGAGUGGUGGGCCUAUGAGGUCGGGAGCUUCCUCAGUGGCAUCCUUGGCAUGGUGGAGCUGGGCGCUCAGUCCAUCGUGUAUGAACUGGCCAUCAUUGUGUACAUGGUCCCUGCAGGCUUCAGUGUGGCUGCCAGUGUCCGGGUAGGAAACGCUCUGGGUGCUGGAGACAUGGAGCAGGCACGGAAGUCCUCUACCGUUUCCCUGCUGAUUACAGUGCUCUUUGCUGUAGCCUUCAGUGUCCUGCUGUUAAGCUGUAAGGAUCACGUGGGGUACAUUUUUACUACCGACCGAGAUAUCAUUAAUCUGGUGGCUCAGGUGGUUCCAAUUUAUGCUGUUUCCCACCUCUUUGAAGCUCUUGCUUGCACGAGCGGUGGCGUUCUGAGGGGGAGUGGAAAUCAGAAGGUUGGAGCCAUUGUGAAUACCAUUGGGUACUAUGUGGUUGGCCUCCCCAUCGGGAUCGCGCUGAUGUUUGCAACCAAACUUGGAGUGAUGGGGUGCCCUGAAAACCUUGAAGGAAUUUUAACGAACGAUGUUGGAAAGACAGGCGAGACUCAGUCGGAUCAGCAGAUGCGCCAAGAAGAACCUUUGCCGGAACAUCCACAGGACAGCGCUAAGUUGUCCAGGAAACAGCUGGUGCUGCGGCGAGGGCUUCUGCUCCUGGGGGUCUUCUUAAUCUUGCUGGUGGGGAUUUUAGUGAGAUUCUAUGUCAGAAUUCAGUGACGUGGCAGGAAAGAAAGUCAGGUCAAGUGAUGCUUUUGAGCUUACACACAAUUCACAGGCCCACCAGUGACAAUUUACUUUGAGUUA